UCUCACCCAAGCGCCCAUCGGAACCCAUCGCUGCGGGGCGCGCCCAGAGGGGGCGGGGCUUUAUACCCCGGAGGGGGCGUGGCUAAAGGAAGUGGGCGUGGCUUGAGCGGGAAAAAAAUGGGGGCGUGGCCGAGGUGAACCGCAAAUCCCGCUCUGCCCUGACCACGCCCCUUUUCUGGUGUGUGGUUACGGAGGGGGGGCGUGGCUUAAGGAAAGAAAGGGGCGUGGUUUAAGCGUAGCCACGCCUCCUGUGGACCCCCCACCCCUUUUUAAAGCCCCGGACGGAGGGGACGCGCUCAGUUCUGGUGGCGCCUUUAUGGGUGCCGCUGCUCCGCGCCGGGUCGCCACCACGGUGGCCAUGGAGGUCCCUUUGGUGGCCAUGGGGGUCUUCAUGGUGGUCCUGGGGAUCCCCAUUGGUGGCCAUGGGGGUCUUCAUGGUGGUCCUGGGGGUCCCCCUGGUUGCCCUGCUGUCACUUGGUGGCCAUGGGGGUCUUCAUGGUGGUCCUGGAGGUCCCAUUGGUGGCCAUGGUGGGUCCCACUGGUGGCCCUGCUGUCACUUGGUGGUCCUGGGGGUCCCACUGGUGGCCAUGGGGGUCCCUCUUGUGGCCAUGGUGGUUCCCAUUGGUGGCCAUGGGGGUCUUCAUGGUGGUCCUGGGGGUCCCACUGGUGGCCAUGGGGGUCUUCAGGGUGGCCAUGAGGGUCCCACUAGUGGCCCUGCUGUCACUUGGAGGCCCUGGGGGUCCCCAAGGUGGCCCUUGGGGUCCUUUUAGUGGCCAUGGGGGUCUUCAUGGUGGUCCUGGGGGUCCCACUGGUGGCCAUGGUGGUUCCCAUUGGUGGUCCUGGGGGUUCCCAUUGGUGGCCAUGGGGGUCUUCAGGGUGGCCAUAGGGGUCCCACUAGUGGCCCUGCUGUCACUUGGUGGCCCUGGGGGUCCCCAAGGUGGCCAUGCGGGUCCCAUUGGUGGCCCUGGGGGUCCCAUAGAUGGCCAUGAGGGUCCCACUGGUGGCCAUGGUGGUUCCCAUUGGUGGCCAUGGGGGUCCUCAUGGUGGUCCUGGGGGUCCCCAAGGUGGCCCUGCUGUCACUUGGUGGUCCUGGGGGUCCCACUGAUGGCCAUGGGGGGUCCCUCUUGUGGCCAUGGUGGUUCCCAUUGGUGGCCAGGGGGUCUUCAUGGUGGUCCUGGGGGUCCCACUGGUGGCCAUGGGGGUCUUCAGGGUGGUCCUGGGGGUCCCACUAGUGGCCCUGCUGUCACUUGGAGGCCCUGGGGGUCCCCAAGGUGGCCCUGGGGGUUCCCAAAGUGGCCAUGGGGGUCCCAUUGGUGGCCCUCCUGUCACCUUGGUGGCCAUGAGGGUCCCACUGGUGGUCCUGGGGGUCCCACUGGUGGCCAUGGGGGUCCCCAUUGGUAGCCAUGGGGGUCCCCAUUGGUGGCCAUGGGGGUCCCAUUGGUGGCCCUAGGGGUCCUACUGGUAGCCAUGCAGGUCCCCAAGGUGGCCAUGGGGGUCUUCAUGGUGGUCCUGGGGGUCCCACUGGUGGCCAUGGUGGUUCCCAUUGGUGGCCCUGAGGGUCCCACUGGUGGCCAUGGGAGUCCAUUGGUGGCCAUGCAGGUCCCCAAGGUGGCCCUGGGUGUCCCAUUGGUGGCCAUGGGGGUCCUCAUGG
This 1651-nucleotide long non-coding RNA is filed under the name Phasianus colchicus (ring-necked pheasant). Its description in RNAcentral is "lncRNA (ENSPCLG00000018912.1)". Lineage: Eukaryota; Metazoa; Chordata; Aves; Galliformes; Phasianidae. The record is from RNAcentral.